This 876-nucleotide ribosomal RNA is filed under the name uncultured archaeon. Its description in RNAcentral is "bacterial SSU rRNA". It matches the Rfam family "Archaeal small subunit ribosomal RNA", at positions 31 to 913 of the family's 1478-position model. The record is from RNAcentral.
UAUCGGAUUGAUACUAAGCCAUGCGAGUCAUUGUAGCAAUACAAGGCAUACGGCUCAGUAACGCGUAGUCAACCUACCCUAUGGACGGGAAUAACCUUGGGAAACUGAGAAUAAUGCCCGAUAGAACAUUAUGCCUGGAAUGGUUUAUGUUCCAAAUGAUUUAUCGCCGUAGGAUGGGACUGCGGCCUAUCAGUUUGUUGGUGAGGUAAUGGCCCACCAAGACUAUUACAGGUACGGGCUCUGAGAGGAGUAGCCCGGAGAUGGGUACUGAGACACGGACCCAGGCCCUAUGGGGCGCAGCAGGCGAGAAAACUUUGCAAUGUGCGAAAGCACGACAAGGUUAAUCCGAGUGGUUUSUGCUAAAGGAACCUUUUGUCAGUCCUAGAAACACUGAUGAAUAAGGGGUGGGCAAGUUCUGGUGUCAGCCGCCGCGGUAAAACCAGCACCUCAAGUGGUCAGGAUGAUUAUUGGGCCUAAAGCAUCCGUAGCCGGCUCUGUAAGUUUUCGGUUAAAUCUGUACGCUCAACGUACAGGCUGCCGGGAAUACUGCARAGCUAGGGAGUGGGAGAGGUAGACGGUACUCGGUAGGAAGGGGUAAAAUCCUUUGAUCUAUUGAUGACCACCUGUGGCGAAGGCGGUCUACCAGAACACGUCCGACGGUGAGGGAUGAAAGCUGGGGGAGCAAACCGGAUUAGAUACCCGGGUAGUCCCAGCUGUAAACCAUGCAAACUCAGUGAUGCAUUGGCUUGUGGCCAAUGCAGUGCUGCAGGGAAGCCGUUAAGUUUGCCGCCUGGGAAGUACGUACGCAAGUAUGAAACUUAAAGGAAUUGGCGGGGGAGCACCACAAGGGGUGAAGCCUGCGGUUCAAUUGGAGUC